GACGAACGCUGGCGGCGUGCCUAAUACAUGCAAGUCGAACGCUUCUUUCCUCCCGAGUGCUUGCACUCAAUUGGAAAGAGGAGUGGCGGACGGGUGAGUAACACGUGGGUAACCUACCCAUCAGAGGGGGAUAACACUUGGAAACAGGUGCUAAUACCGCAUAACAGUUUAUGCCGCAUGGCAUAAGAGUGAAAGGCGCUUUCGGGUGUCGCUGAUGGAUGGACCCGCGGUGCAUUAGCUAGUUGGUGAGGUAACGGCUCACCAAGGCCACGAUGCAUAGCCGACCUGAGAGGGUGAUCGGCCACACUGGGACUGAGACACGGCCCAGACUCCUACGGGAGGCAGCAGUAGGGAGUCUUCGGCAAUGGACGAAAGUCUGACCGAGCAACGCCGCGUGAGUGAAGAAGGUGUUCGGAUCGUAAAACUCUGUUGUUAGAGAAGAACAAGGACGUUAGUAACUGAACGUCCCCUGACGGUAUCUAACCAGAAAGCCACGGCUAACUACGUG
This 508-nucleotide ribosomal RNA is filed under the name uncultured bacterium. RNAcentral describes it as "partial 16S ribosomal RNA". It matches the Rfam family "Bacterial small subunit ribosomal RNA", at positions 28 to 507 of the family's 1533-position model. The record is from RNAcentral.